This 27-nucleotide non-coding RNA is filed under the name Cricetulus griseus (Chinese hamster). Lineage: Eukaryota; Metazoa; Chordata; Mammalia; Rodentia; Cricetidae. The record is from RNAcentral.
AGGGGGACCCACUCAUUUACAAAGACU